Molecule: ribosomal RNA, 112 nt
Organism: Cavia aperea (Brazilian guinea pig)
Lineage: Eukaryota; Metazoa; Chordata; Mammalia; Rodentia; Caviidae
Source: Ensembl
GUCUACGACCAUACCACUGUGAACGCGACCGAUCUCAUCUGAUCUCGGAAGCUAAGCAGGGUCGGGCCUGGUUAGUCUUUGGAUGGGAAGAAGAUAACUAGACUCUUGGUCA